RNAcentral lists this ribosomal RNA (492 nucleotides) under uncultured bacterium. Its description in RNAcentral is "partial 16S ribosomal RNA". It matches the Rfam family "Bacterial small subunit ribosomal RNA", at positions 29 to 507 of the family's 1533-position model. The record is from RNAcentral.
AGUGAACGCUGGCGGUAGGCCUAACACAUGCAAGUCGAACGGCAGCACAGUAAGAGCUUGCUCUUACGGGUGGCGAGUGGCGGACGGGUGAGGAAUACAUCGGAAUCUACUUUUUCGUGGGGGAUAACGUAGGGAAACUUACGCUAAUACCGCAUACGACCUACGGGUGAAAGCAGGGGAUCUUCGGACCUUGCGCGAUUGAAUGAGCCGAUGUCGGAUUAGCUAGUUGGCGGGGUAAAGGCCCACCAAGGCGACGAUCCGUAGCUGGUCUGAGAGGAUGAGCAGCCACACUGGAACUGAGACACGGUCCAGACUCCUACGGGAGGCAGCAGUGGGGAAUAUUGGACAAUGGGCGCAAGCCUGAUCCAGCCAUACCGCGUGGGUGAAGAAGGCCUUCGGGUUGUAAAACCCUUUUGUUGGGAAAGAAAAGCAGCAGGUUAAUACCCCGCUGUUCUGACGGUACCCAAAGAAUAAGCACCGGCUAACUUCGUG